GUCGAGCGGUAAGGCCCUUCGGGGUACACGAGCGGCGAACGGGUGAGUAACACGUGGGUGAUCUGCCCUGCACUUCGGGAUAAGCCUGGGAAACUGGGUCUAAUACCGGAUAUGACCUUCGGCUGCAUGGCUGAGGGUGGAAAGGUUUACUGGUGCAGGAUGGGCCCGCGGCCUAUCAGCUUGUUGGUGGGGUAAUGGCCUACCAAGGCGACGACGGGUAGCCGACCUGAGAGGGUGACCGGCCACACUGGGACUGAGACACGGCCCAGACUCCUACGGGAGGCAGCAGUGGGGAAUAUUGCACAAUGGGCGAAAGCCUGAUGCAGCGACGCCGCGUGAGGGAUGACGGCCUUCGGGUUGUAAACCUCUUUCAGCAGGGACGAAGCGAAAGUGACGGUACCUGCAGAAGAAGCACCGGCCAACUACGUGCCAGCAGCCGCGGUAAUACGUAGGGUGCAAGCGUUGUCCGGAAUUACUGGGCGUAAAGAGCUCGUAGGCGGUUUGUCGCGUCGUCUGUGAAAACUCGAGGCUCAACCUCGAGCUUGCAGGCGAUACGGGCAGACUUGAGUACUGCAGGGGAGACUGGAAUUCCUGGUGUAGCGGUGAAAUGCGCAGAUAUCAGGAGGAACACCGGUGGCGAAGGCGGGUCUCUGGGCAGUAACUGACGCUGAGGAGCGAAAGCGUGGGUAGCGAACAGGAUUAGAUACCCUGGUAGUCCACGCCGUAAACGGU
This 732-nucleotide ribosomal RNA is filed under the name Rhodococcus wratislaviensis. RNAcentral's name for it is "bacterial SSU rRNA". It matches the Rfam family "Bacterial small subunit ribosomal RNA", at positions 61 to 810 of the family's 1533-position model. Lineage: Bacteria; Bacillati; Actinomycetota; Actinomycetes; Mycobacteriales; Nocardiaceae. The record is from RNAcentral.